GACGAACGCUGGCGGCGUGCUUAACACAUGCAAGUCGAGCGGAAAGGCCCUUUCGGGGGUACUCGAGCGGCGAACGGGUGAGUAACACGUGAGUAACCUGCCCCAGUCUUUGGGAUAACCCUCGGAAACGGGGGCUAAUACCGAAUACUACCUUCGCCUGCAUGGGUGUUGGUGGAAAGUUUUUCGGUCUGGGAUGGGCUCGCGGCCUAUCAGCUUGUUGGUGGGGUGAUGGCCUACCAAGGCGACGACGGGUAGCCGGCCUGAGAGGGCGACCGGCCACACUGGGACUGAGACACGGCCCAGACUCCUACGGGAGGCAGCAGUGGGGAAUAUUGCACAAUGGGCGGAAGCCUGAUGCAGCGACGCCGCGUGAGGGAUGACGGCUUUCGGGUUGUAAACCUCUUUCAGCAGGGACGAAGCGCAAGUGACGGUACCUGCAGAAGAAGCGCCGGCCAACUACGUGCCAGCAGCCGCAGUAAAC
RNAcentral lists this ribosomal RNA (481 nucleotides) under uncultured bacterium. RNAcentral's name for it is "bacterial SSU rRNA". It matches the Rfam family "Bacterial small subunit ribosomal RNA", at positions 28 to 525 of the family's 1533-position model. The record is from RNAcentral.